GUAGCGACGAGGGGAAGGGAUAAGGUCCCGAGCGCCGCGUCCAGCAUCCUCUCUCAUCUCCCUUUCCCCUCGCUCGCUUCCUCCUCCCGAGCCCGCAGAUCCCUAGCCGCCUUCUCCCGCAGCACCUCAGCCGCCUCCUCUCGCUCUCCACCCAGCUGCUCGCCACCACUUCGCCGCCUCCUCCUCCCCUGCUCCUCUGACCUCGAAGCCCCAACGCAUGGUUGCCGCCGCCGCUCGUGUCUUUCUUCCCGCAGCCUCCUGCGGGACGAUGCCUCCCCAUCCUCCAUUAGUCGCCGCUGUGGGAUGUGGUUCUGGACCGGUCCCAGGUCGCUGCCGAGGAGCAGAGGAGGACGAUCGUGGGGGGAAGGAGCAGAGGAGGACGUCACGGGGGAAGGUGCAGCGAGCCUCCCCAUCCUCCAUUAGCCGCCGCUGUGGGAUGUGGUUCUGGACCGGUCCCAGGUCGCUGCGGAGGAGCAGAGGAGGACGACAGCGAGGGGAAGGAGCAGAGGAGGACGUCACUGGGGAAGGUGCAGCGAGCCCGAAGGUCCAGACGGCGCCCUCGUCAUGUGCCGGAUGCUGCUCGCCAGCCCUCUUUGUCGUCCUCAAUCUAGCAAGAUGUGUGAAGAUCCGAGACAGAAAAGAGGAGGAAGAAUUUUGACGAAGAGUUCGGUGAUGGGGAACAUGUGAACUCUCUCUCAGCCACGUCUUUUCCUGCUACAGUUUGAUUUUGAUGUUAUGGUUGAUUCUACCCCUGAUGUGGCCUAAUUCUUUCUUUGUCACCCUUUUGAUAUGUGUUAUCAAAGUUAGUGAUUGGAGUUUCUCUGUUAUGUCAGUACACAUUGCUACUUUCAGGUUGUUUAAUUACUUUAUAUGAAACACAUUGACAUUAUAUGGAAAAGAGGCAUAUAUAUGAUUCUCUGUGUAUUUGCAAUGUCGUGACUGCAGAGGUAUCCUUCUCUCUGUAACAAGUCUAAUUAUUUGCGAAUUGGGUGUGCAUAUGCUUGCGUCUACCUACUCUAUUUGCGCUCAAAUACCAUAUAUGUAUGGACUGGUAGAGGUAAAAGAUAAAUUCAGAAAGAUAAAAAGGAAAUGACAUCUAUUCCCGAAUUUAUGUUUCUAUGGUGUCAUGGGUUCAGUUUGUGUUGCACAUUUAUGUGUCAACGACGACUAUCAAACAAGAAAAUUGUUCACCAGCUAUGGCCACCUCCGCGUUUAUCUUUUCAUGGUCAUGGAAAAUGAAAUGUUCAUGAAUCGCCGGUUGCUUUCAGGCCGACACGGGCUGCCGGUCCACCCAGCGCGCGGGUAGCUGUGCAGAUCUCUAAUCGGCACCCUCCCUAUGGCACCGCUCCACAAUGCCGACCAGCAUUGAAUAUGCCAUGGAUCCGCCAAGCAGACGCCUCAGGACGGUCAUCCAGAAUGCUAUCCUGCCUCCAUUCAAGCCCAGGUCAAUCGUCCUCUUCCAUUCUGCGGCUAUUACCUGGAAUAUUAAUGACCAUUUAUUUGCUGACAGUGGUUGCAUUUUCCUUAAAUUUUAGGCGCUCUUCACUUGCUUCAUAAUUUCUGAAUAAAUGCAUCUAUGUUCAGUCUGAUUUUAAAUUGCACUGAAACUAGAAAGCAGUGGAUGCCUUGGUGUUAUGUUCCAACAAAAAAUAGGAAGGAAGCAGAAAGUGGAAUAGGUAAAUAGUCACAGUGCACUAUAGAUUGUCCAUAACUUUUUCUAGGUCAGCUGUAGUACUGGUAUGGAUAAAAGUAAAUAUGUCACUGGUGUUACAUCUUCCUAAUCCAUCAUAUGUGUAAAGCUAAGAUCAGAUAUUUGAAUUGUCAGACUCUUUUGCUCAUUGUCAGACCAUGACUAAGGCUUCCUAUUAAAAUUGUGUGGAAUGCUACUAAAAAGUGGAAAAAAUUAUUAUUCUAUGGUAUUCUUUAUUCUCCUAGCCCCUACAAGGCUUCCGGUUAAAGUUCAUCGAUGUGCUCCUGAAAGUGAAUUAGUGGCACCCAAGUAUGCGCUCGUGCUUUCCUUCUGUUAUGGCUUACCUAUUUGCCUUGGAGUGUGCUUUUUUUCGGGGCUCAUAUUCUUGGCAUAUGCAUGUAUGUACAAUGAAUCUUUUUUUAUCUGAUCACUUGUCUCUUUAUCUAGAACUUGAAGGAUAAAAAAUAUGAGGAAAAUGAAAGCAGUUACCACGGCCAUCUGAAAAGCUAAAAAAUUGGAGAAGGUCCUGAAAGUAAAAAGCAAGAGGUCAAGGAUUCAGUCUGCCAAGUCUUUGUAUGAUUAAAAUUUUAGUGGCUAGCAUAAUUUUUUGUACCAGUAUGUUUCCGACUUUCCGCCUGCAGAUCAACCACAUCUAUGUGUUUGAAAAGAACCUGCUUUCCUCAAAAGAUUGCUACUACCUGCUUCUUUACAACACUUCACGGAUGACUUGUGAUGACACCUGGUAUUAAUUAGUACAGUAGGAACGAUGGGUUUUUCAUCACAUUCUUUGAUGUCAAUCAUUGCAAAGUUGUAACGUACUAAAUCCUAAUAUGCCAAUGCAGCAAAAAAAGUCUUAUUUUUCAGAUUGCACCAAGAAAAAACUGCUUCCAUGGCUUCCUUGGCCUCCCUGUCGUGCUCGAGAUGGAGAUGCCUCCCUGCUUCACCACUGCUAGGUACCUCUUCUUCCUCAGCUUCGUCCUCCUCCUAGCAGUGGAUGCUGCAGGCCCAUCUCCCCAAGCACCCCACCCUCGCCAUGGAUUGAGUGGGAGGUCAGUUUGCUCUGAAUCCCUGAGAGUUUUGGUCCUGCAUCUCUUGCUCAAUCAGCGGGCUGAUCUUUGCCGGUGCCGGGGUGACAUCACCAGAACUGCUGCAUCUUCAUCUGGUUUGCUUUAGAUAACGAGAGCAAGGCAAGCAGCUUGCCAAAAACAAAGGUGGAUGCAGAAGGAACAUCACUUGUUGGCUCCCUUGACAGAAAUGCGGAGUUUUACAUGAUUUACGAGGACAUGUCUUCUUGGAUGGAUGUGGAUUAUUUGGUUCCUUUGUGGGAACUGAUAACAUUUUGUUUACAUAUUUACUGCUCGACCGUAUGCCCAUAAGGAUUGUUUGAUCUCUUUUUCUACGCAGACUGCAGGUGUAGGUCCCCUGCUCACUAAGGACAAGGUCAGAUUGCUUUAGGUAUUUUAAGAUGAUUAAUCCUUGAGCACCAUAGUUGAUUGAAAUCAAAUAUGCAGAUCACUUUUCCUUACAAUUAAAAUGAAAUAUGUUGCAAAAUAAAGUGGUGUAUAUUGUGAGACUAUGUACUGUAUGAGUUAUUUGAGUAAUGAUGUGAAAGCAAUGUAUAAACUUGGUGAAUUCACUUCAGUUUACUGAUACUGGUUUAUCAAUAUGUGGCCAUCAAGUGUGAUGUGCAAGUUAUAUAUAUAUUAGGCAUCUAAUGUACUAUGUAUUUACAAACUUUUCUGUGUGUUCCACAGUACCAAGUCGAGCAUCCAAUAACAGAUUUGGUUCUAAUCAAGGAUCACACAUUUCAUGCUUGCACUAUAGUUUAUUUCUCCAUUCAUGCAUUAUCAGUCUUAGUACUUGCUCUUGUGCCUGCCCGGCUUGCUCUAUUACUGACUUUGCCUUCUCUUCCUAAAUAGCAGACCUGGUUUUCUUUAUGUCCUUGAAGCAAAUACCACAAUGUUAGCUUGAAAGUAUUUAGGAUACAUACAGAGCCAGAAGGUAAAUAAGGGAUUUGACAAAAAGAGUACACACUGAUUUUAGGUGCUGCACUUCAGAAGCAAUCCCCUCCUUUACCCCCACAGGCUCCUACAGGCAAAUCAACCUGCAGUCAGCAUAUUUUUAUAUUUGUUGCUUGGAACAACAAGCUGAAUCAACUGAAUUACUCACGUUAUGGCAGGUCUUGGUGUACAAGACUGCAACCACUAAUAAAAAAUAAAAUAUCAUGUUAGACAGCUAUUUAUCUAUAGUAGAUACACUACAGUGCAAUUGAUGCAUCGGUCUCACGAAACGAUGUUGUGCUGGGUCUCAUAGGAUCACUUGCGUUUUGAUCGAAUUUCUAUGAAGCCUACAAACUAGGAUCACUUUUUUUUCGAGAAAACACAAAGGACCUUUGCAUUUCAUUUCAUGGAAAAGGUAGAACAGACCUCCUAGGAGGUGAGCGGUACAGUGUCAUGCAUCCUAUCAAUGGACAUCCCAGGUUGUGGGCAGGACAACCCGAAACCCCUGGGCUCCAGCGUUUUCCCAACAUCGGGUCUCAUCUUUGAUCCUAUCCACUAAUGGUUCGAUGGACGGCGUGGCGUAGUCGAAGACACAUGCGUGCAGAUCACUCUUAUUUUCUCACACGAAGCAUUUCAAGCCGAUGAGCUGUAGUUGUAGUUCUUUUCAAACUGCCAUGAUUUUAACCAAAAGUUUAGUACAGGUGCAGAUUCUAAUUUGUGUGAUAAGUUUAUGACAUUUUUGUCUUGCAUGUGUAUUUAUAGCUAAUAUCUCUUAUUGCAAUUCGUAGGAUCAGAAUCGGGACAUGAAUCUGAACUAUGAUAUUUGGAUUUACGAUCUCAUUCAUGGAAAUUGUGCAAGAUAAUGAGCAACAGACAUUAUUUCAUCCCAGUGAAGCUCCAAGUUUGGCUAUUUGCUGGGGAUACGAGUUCUAGACUGUAUAAGAAAUAUAAAAUAGAAUUAAGCUGGAAAAGAUAUACAUAUUAUAAUAUCUGCAUUGCCUUUUAUUAAACAAAAUAUAUAACAUUGUGAUGGGGUAAUGACAAUACUGAAACAUCGUCAGCUACCACUAUCUAUUUUGUGGGAUCAUUAGAAGGUGAAACUUAUGUACGGUUCUAUCAUCCUGGUCAUUAAUUUGUUGGCGUGUAGCUGAUGCAAUAUUAGUGUGUGUGCUUGUGUGUCGCUAUUUUGCUGAAACAAGUACUAUUAUUGCAUAGGUUAUCAUUUAUCACUAUUAGAGUUGCAGUUUACCUUUUCCAUAUAGAUACUGUUCUUACCUCAAGUUGGUAAACAAUAUGUGUUCUUACCUCAAAUUGACAUAUAGUGCAUUCCAGGCAUCAAAUUUUAUCACUAUUAAAUUAGAUAUAUCAAAUUGAGUUCAGUAGUCUAUCAUUGGAACCUUGAUGAUUUAUCUCAUUUGAACAUAAUCUAACCCCUCUGAUUUUUGUCAGUACAUGAUUGUACACCUCCUAUGCCCGCUUAAUUGUGUGUUCAUUUUGUUAAUCAAGAAGCAUUUGAUUUUAUGGCUGGCGCGACUGCUUCGUGUGCUGCCUCGAGUCGCGCGGCCACUACGCCCGCGCCGAGGCGGAGGCCGCUGCCACUCUCGACGCCCUCCGCUGCGCGCUCUCGCCGGCGGCGUUCGCAAAGCCUUGUCGCGGCGCUGCAAGUGUUGCCCCCCUCCUCCCCAAGGGCAAGGUGAAGGAAGGUGCCUGUGUGGUUCUUCUGCAGCUCGCAGCGAGGAUUGCUGUGUCCAACCUGCACAAGAAUGCCAAGAAGUCCUCAGAGACGAUUAAGGACACGUACCUGUACUACAACGAGAGAUAUCUGGGCUGCUUCUUUGUGGCUUCCAAACAUGAAAUUUUUGUUUGGAAGUUAGUUUAGUUUUUUGUUGUGGAUUCACAGCUUCUCACAUGUACCAUCCUUUUAGACCUUCAGGUUCCGAAAGAAACUAAAUGAAGAUACGGUGGUAUGGUCUCAAUAGUACAACUUAAAGCCUUCAAAGCUUUAUAUUUUCUCUGAAAUUUGCUCUUGAAGAAUUAUGUAUCUAUGUUAGAUCUGGUGAGUAAAGACGGCUUCCAAGCAGAGGAUGCGGGAGUGUUGGCCA
This is a long non-coding RNA of Triticum dicoccoides, 5792 nucleotides long. RefSeq lists it as uncharacterized. The record is from RefSeq and is a predicted model, not a curated record. The transcript has 6 exons. NCBI's taxonomy places the organism in Eukaryota, Viridiplantae, Streptophyta, Magnoliopsida, Poales, Poaceae.